UUAAGCGACUAAGCGUACACGGUGGAUGCCCUGGCAGUCAGAGGCGAUGAAGGACGUGCUAAUCUGCGAUAAGCGUCGGUAAGGUGAUAUGAACCGUUAUAACCGGCGAUUUCCGAAUGGGGAAACCCAGUGUGUUUCGACACACUAUCAUUAACUGAAUCCAUAGGUUAAUGAGGCGAACCGGGGGAACUGAAACAUCUAAGUACCCCGAGGAAAAGAAAUCAACCGAGAUUCCCCCAGUAGCGGCGAGCGAACGGGGAGCAGCCCAGAGCCUGAAUCAGUGUGUGUGUUAGUGGAAGCGUCUGGAAAGGCGCGCGAUACAGGGUGACAGCCCCGUACACAAAAAUGCACAUAUUGUGAGCUCGAUGAGUAGGGCGGGACACGUGGUAUCCUGUCUGAAUAUGGGGGGACCAUCCUCCAAGGCUAAAUACUCCUGACUGACCGAUAGUGAACCAGUACCGUGAGGGAAAGGCGAAAAGAACCCCGGCGAGGGGAGUGAAAAAGAACCUGAAACCGUGUACGUACAAGCAGUGGGAGCACAGAGCAAUCUGUGUGACUGCGUACCUUUUGUAUAAUGGGUCAGCGACUUAUAUUCUGUAGCAAGGUUAACCGAAUAGGGGAGCCGAAGGGAAACCGAGUCUUAACUGGGCGUUAAGUUGCAGGGUAUAGACCCGAAACCCGGUGAUCUAGCCAUGGGCAGGUUGAAGGUUGGGUAACACUAACUGGAGGACCGAACCGACUAAUGUUGAAAAAUUAGCGGAUGACUUGUGGCUGGGGGUGAAAGGCCAAUCAAACCGGGAGAUAGCUGGUUCUCCCCGAAAGCUAUUUAGGUAGCGCCUCGUGAAUUCAUCUCCGGGGGUAGAGCACUGUUUCGGCAAGGGGGUCAUCCCGACUUACCAACCCGAUGCAAACUGCGAAUACCGGAGAAUGUUAUCACGGGAGACACACGGCGGGUGCUAACGUCCGUCGUGAAGAGGGAAACAACCCAGACCGCCAGCUAAGGUCCCAAAGUCAUGGUUAAGUGGGAAACGAUGUGGGAAGGCCCAGACAGCCAGGAUGUUGGCUUAGAAGCAGCCAUCAUUUAAAGAAAGCGUAAUAGCUCACUGGUCGAGUCGGCCUGCGCGGAAGAUGUAACGGGGCUAAACCAUGCACCGAAGCUGCGGCAGCGACACUGUGUGUUGUUGGGUAGGGGAGCGUUCUGUAAGCCUGUGAAGGUGUACUGUGAGGUAUGCUGGAGGUAUCAGAAGUGCGAAUGCUGACAUAAGUAACGAUAAAGCGGGUGAAAAGCCCGCUCGCCGGAAGACCAAGGGUUCCUGUCCAACGUUAAUCGGGGCAGGGUGAGUCGACCCCUAAGGCGAGGCCGAAAGGCGUAGUCGAUGGGAAACAGGUUAAUAUUCCUGUACUUGGUGUUACUGCGAAGGGGGGACGGAGAAGGCUAUGUUGGCCGGGCGACGGUUGUCCCGGUUUAAGCGUGUAGGCUGGUUUUCCAGGCAAAUCCGGAAAAUCAAGGCUGAGGCGUGAUGACGAGGCACUACGGUGCUGAAGCAACAAAUGCCCUGCUUCCAGGAAAAGCCUCUAAGCAUCAGGUAACAUCAAAUCGUACCCCAAACCGACACAGGUGGUCAGGUAGAGAAUACCAAGGCGCUUGAGAGAACUCGGGUGAAGGAACUAGGCAAAAUGGUGCCGUAACUUCGGGAGAAGGCACGCUGAUAUGUAGGUGAAGUCCCUCGCGGAUGGAGCUGAAAUCAGUCGAAGAUACCAGCUGGCUGCAACUGUUUAUUAAAAACACAGCACUGUGCAAACACGAAAGUGGACGUAUACGGUGUGACGCCUGCCCGGUGCCGGAAGGUUAAUUGAUGGGGUCAGCGCAAGCGAAGCUCUUGAUCGAAGCCCCGGUAAACGGCGGCCGUAACUAUAACGGUCCUAAGGUAGCGAAAUUCCUUGUCGGGUAAGUUCCGACCUGCACGAAUGGCGUAAUGAUGGCCAGGCUGUCUCCACCCGAGACUCAGUGAAAUUGAACUCGCUGUGAAGAUGCAGUGUACCCGCGGCAAGACGGAAAGACCCCGUGAACCUUUACUAUAGCUUGACACUGAACAUUGAGCCUUGAUGUGUAGGAUAGGUGGGAGGCUUUGAAGUGUGGACGCCAGUCUGCAUGGAGCCGACCUUGAAAUACCACCCUUUAAUGUUUGAUGUUCUAACGUGGACCCGUGAUCCGGGUUGCGGACAGUGUCUGGUGGGUAGUUUGACUGGGGCGGUCUCCUCCUAAAGAGUAACGGAGGAGCACGAAGGUUGGCUAAUCCUGGUCGGACAUCAGGAGGUUAGUGCAAUGGCAUAAGCCAGCUUGACUGCGAGCGUGACGGCGCGAGCAGGUGCGAAAGCAGGUCAUAGUGAUCCGGUGGUUCUGAAUGGAAGGGCCAUCGCUCAACGGAUAAAAGGUACUCCGGGGAUAACAGGCUGAUACCGCCCAAGAGUUCAUAUCGACGGCGGUGUUUGGCACCUCGAUGUCGGCUCAUCACAUCCUGGGGCUGAAGUAGGUCCCAAGGGUAUGGCUGUUCGCCAUUUAAAGUGGUACGCGAGCUGGGUUUAGAACGUCGUGAGACAGUUCGGUCCCUAUCUGCCGUGGGCGCUGGAGAACUGAGGGGGGCUGCUCCUAGUACGAGAGGACCGGAGUGGACGCAUCACUGGUGUUCGGGUUGUCAUGCCAAUGGCACUGCCCGGUAGCUAAAUGCGGAAGAGAUAAGUGCUGAAAGCAUCUAAGCACGAAACUUGCCCCGAGAUGAGUUCUCCCUGACCCUUUAAGGGUCCUGAAGGAACGUUGAAGACGACGACGUUGAUAGGCCGGGUGUGUAAGCGCAGCGAUGCGUUGAGCUAACCGGUACUAAUGAACCGUGAGGCUUAACCUU
Molecule: ribosomal RNA, 2903 nt
Filed under: Escherichia coli
Lineage: Bacteria; Pseudomonadati; Pseudomonadota; Gammaproteobacteria; Enterobacterales; Enterobacteriaceae
Description: bacterial LSU rRNA
Rfam family: Bacterial large subunit ribosomal RNA
Source: RNAcentral